This 235-nucleotide long non-coding RNA is filed under the name Manihot esculenta (cassava). RNAcentral's name for it is "long non-coding RNA (MESC_LNC011611)". The record is from RNAcentral. Lineage: Eukaryota; Viridiplantae; Streptophyta; Magnoliopsida; Malpighiales; Euphorbiaceae.
UUCGGCCGCCGAACCCCCUUGUGGAGGCAGGCCUUUCGGCUGCCGAAGUUGCCCCCGAAAAGAGACUUUCGUCUCUGUCUGGGAGUUUCGGCCGCCGAAGGUGCCGCCGAACCUGCCUGACUUUCGGCUCUGGAGGGACUUUCGGCCGCCGAACCUGCCGCCGAAAGUGCCCUGUUCAGCCAUUUCUUGCAUGUUUUUAUGUGAUGUUUUCAUGAUGUUAUAGGGGGUUUUUGGG